Eupeodes corollae is the source of this 1918-nucleotide long non-coding RNA. RefSeq lists it as uncharacterized. The record is from RefSeq and is a predicted model, not a curated record. NCBI's taxonomy places the organism in Eukaryota, Metazoa, Arthropoda, Insecta, Diptera, Syrphidae. The transcript is spliced from 2 exons.
AACACACUAAAAAUUUUGGUGGUUGAAAUGUUCGAUAUGAAAAUGACGGCCAAGUAUAAAUACGAUCAGCAUUUCCAAUGAUCAUCGCAUUUCUUGUUUGCAACUCGAAGUCGACACAACCAACAACGACUACGAUUGAGUUUAAAACUUGAGUGUGGUGCCUCUCUGGUGUGUGGCCCUUUCUGAGGCUGGUUCUCAAAUUGGGCCGAAACUUGGAAUUCAUUUAAAAGAACUAAAAAAACUAUCUGUGUGCAUAAGUGAAACUUGAUCAUAAGAACUCCAACAACUGUAGAAAAAAAAAACUAAGUGAAUUAAUUAAAUAAAAAGAGAAACUUUAUCCAGAAUUUCCAAUCUCGAAUCAAAGUGAAGUGCAAAGUGUAUCUGAGAACUUAAAAAAAAAAAAAAAGUAUCUAUCUAUCUGAUUGUGUGUAUCUUUGUGUUGUUGAAAGUGACAACAGCAACGACGACGACGAUGACAUUCAACGAAAGAGAAAGUUAAAAGACAUUCUAAAAAAGCAAAAAUAAACUAACGUAAUAAAAACCAAACAUAAUAAUUAUUAUGAUCAUCACCAACAAACUAUCUAACUUCCCAUACAUAAGUACGAUAAAGCAAUAGAUACAGAUACUUUUUUCAUAUCCCUCUCUCAAUGGAUGAUGGAUGCAGCAAGGUGUAUAAUGAUGAUGACGAUUAUGAUAAAUUCAAAUUAUUUAUUAUCAUGAAAAUAUUCUUCCGUGGAAAAUGAAACUUAGUAACGUAGUCAUCCAACCGAACAGCAAAGCAUAGCACAAACCGUGCCUCGCUGCCGCCGUUGCAAGGGAUUUUCUAUAUCUAUAUACCUUACAGUGUUUUACUUAAUUUGAUGGAUUAACCGAUGUAACGAACCCACUAUCAUCCCACAACAGCUGAAAAACCAUAAGGAAAAUAACCCCCUUAAGCUAUUUCAUUUGCUUCCUCCGCAAGAAUUUUUCUCAUAUAAUAUAAAAAGAUAAUUUAUUAUUCAUUUUCAAACACCAUAGCAAUUUUGCUCCAAGGGAUUAUUGUAAUAAAAAUUGCAAUGCAUGAUGGUCGACGAAUAAAGGGAAGCUACAUUUUUUGAUAGUCCUUGAUUUUUUGUUUUUAUUCAACACAAAUUCUGGAUCAAAAUUCAAUAUUAAUUUUGUUCCAUAAAUUAAAGAAGAAAAAAAAACUAAAAUGAGAGAAGAAGGAAACAGUUUUUAUCAUCAAAUAUUCAACAAGAAAUAGCAACAUAUACCAUCACAAAAUAAACAAUUUAUAAAACCAAAAAAUAAAAAAACAUUAAAAAUUUAAUGCAAUAAUCAGAAUAAAAUAACAACGAAAUAGAAGAUAAAAUAAAAACAUCAACAGUUGACAAAUUAUCCUUAAAUCAUCAGCAUCGUUAUUCGUUACACAUCACAAAUUAAACAUAAACAUCACUUAACAAUCCAUAGACAGCAACAGAAAAUCCAUCAGAUAAACUUCCUCAUCGCUUCGCAAAACAACAACAAAACAAAACAAAAAUUUAGAUACUUUUAUGGAAUUUAUUUUACUUUUGAAAAUACAACGUUGAUAUAAUUAGAAAUGCGACAAAAAUUAUUCAUCUACAUAAAUAUGAGGAUGACGAUAAAACCAAAAACAUUAUAAACUUUUUUUUGGAAUUAUUUCAACAUCAACAUCGCAUAAACAAAAAUACAAUUUUGAAAUUUGAAAUUUCCCACGCAGUACGAGAAAGUAGAUGCAAGGUUAUGGAACGCUGCCUUCACAUCAGCUUAGCACUGCGAAAUUGGAUCCAUAUUUUAAUUUUUUGGAAGCUUUCAACGAAAUUUUACAUUCAUAAAAAUCAUACAAAACAAUCAACAUGGAGGAAAAAUAAUAUCAAGACCUUCACCAUCAUGGACACAGAUAAGAAAAGGAAAGGUA